Molecule: long non-coding RNA, 3151 nt
Filed under: Gadus morhua (Atlantic cod)
Lineage: Eukaryota; Metazoa; Chordata; Actinopteri; Gadiformes; Gadidae
Description: lncRNA (ENSGMOG00000026033.1)
Source: RNAcentral
AUGUUUCCCUACAUCCCCCAUCACCCUCUCCCAGAAGGAUCUGCAGGAUGCUCUGGCCUGGGUGUAACAGCAGCACCCUCUGUUUAUAAUGGGUUACAAUCAACUGAAUGUCUUAACCUUCUGUGCGUAUGUGUUCGUGUGUGUGUGUUUGUGUGUCUGUUUUGUAAAAGUCAAUCAACGACUGAGGAAGGAGAACAGGAAGUCUGCAUCAGAGGACCGAAGGACUCAGCUUCUGUGGUCAGUAAACACUCCUACGACGCACGUACAGACACACACACACACACACACACACACACACACACACACACACACACACACACACACACACACACACACACACACACACACACACACACACACACACACACACACACACACACACACACACACUGUGGUAACAACAACCACAUAAACAUCAUAUGUACAUUUUUAAUACAAACACACGCACAAACAACACACACAUACACACACACACACAAAUGUGUGUCAUUAUCAUUUUGGAUAAUAUUCUUUAUAUGUGUUCCUAAAGAUGAGUUCAUAUUUAUUCUUCUCUCUGCUCUCCAGGUGAGUUCAGGGAAAGAAGUCUACAUCCAAGGGACUGGAGGAAGUGACAUCACCGAAGACAUGUCACAACAGAUCUUCCACGAGGGUGGCCAAGAUGGCCGAUCAGUCCUGGGGAUGGUGGCGGUGCAGGUGGAGGUGGACCCCCGGACGGGCGCCACCGUGGUCCGCUCCGUGGCGCCCAUGUCGGCGCCGGUGGGCGCCAUGGCGACCACGGUGUUCGACGACGGCCGCAAGAGCGUGCACGCCAUCGGCGGGGGCGGCGCCCAGCCCUCGGCGGAGGAGCUGGGCCGCAUCCUGAGCGCCAUCGACGGCGUGGGGAUGACGGUGCUGCUGGACGACGUCGCCGUGACGACGAGCGCGAGCGCGGCGUCGGACGCCAGCGCCGGAGAACGUUCCCGGGGGUCCCCGGCGGCCGCGGGGUCCGUGGACGCAUCGCCGCGCGUCGUCGAGGUGAGGGGCGGAUCGGGGGGCGGGGCCCAGGUCGGGGAGACGGGAGCGGAGGAGGGAGGGGGCGUGGCCGUCACCCGCGGCCAGGUGGAGUCUGCCAUGACGGUGAGGGAGGCGGCCGGUCAGCCAAUCGUCACGGAGGAGGCGCCGGGGGCGGGGCCGGACUACGAGACCCCGGUGGUCCUGACCUUUCUGGGCUACGCCGACUCCGACCAGCGGGAGGGGCCGGAGGGCGUGGCCCUGGGCCGAGACGACCGGGGGGGCGUGCUCACCGUGGAGCGAGUGGUCAUCGACGCCGGGGACGAAGACGGCGACGAAGAGGAGAAGGAGGAGGUUCUGGAGCCCUCCGUGAACGGGGGUCCCGCGGGGCCGGGCGGGGCCCCUGAGCAGGACGGAGCGUUCCAGGAGGUCCGGCUGGACGGGAGCGUGAAGCGGGCCCCGGCCAAGGGGGCGGAGCCUGACAAGGUGCCCUCGGAGCCGGCCACACCCAAGGAGGGGAGCAAGGAGACAGAGGAGUCCUCCAAACCCAAGGCCUGUCAAUGCUGCUCUGUCAUGUAGCAGGGAGGGGGAGGAGAGAAGGAGAGGGAGAAAUAAAGAAAGGAAACGAGAAAGUACCGCAAACCACUUCUGCCUCCUGUUGGACAAAACUGAGAACUACAACGAGGGAGAGGGAGAGGGAGAGGGGGAGAGAGGGAGAAAGGGAGAGAGGAAGAGAGGGAGAGAUUGAGAGAGAGAGAGAGAGAGAGAGAGAGAGAGAGAGAGAGAGAGAGAGAGAGAGAGAGAGAGAGAGAGAGAGAGAGAGAGAGAGAGAGAGAGAGAGAGAGAGAGAGAGAGAGAGAGAGAGAGAGAGAAUUUGCCACAGAUCAUAGCAUGUUAUAUGCUGUUUUAUUUAACCUGAUUAAUCUAAGAAAUAACAAACAAACAUUGCCAUGGCUGCCUCUUACAUUAUAUUUGACAAUACAUGAUAAUUUCAUGACAUUCAUUUCAUUCAAAUAAACAUAACAUUAACAUUGUGUUCAGGUUAGUAUUACACAACAUGAUUAUAAUUGAUCAUUUAGUUCAUUCUGCAGAUGCAGAUCGAACAUAUUGUGUACGAAAUAGGUACAACGCCUUGCAGUGACCACAGACGACAUCAUACUAAGAUAAGAGAAAAGUUCGCUGGAUAACAAUUGUGUUUUGGUUUGUUCAUCCAAGUGGAAAGCGGUGGACUACUACAACCACUACUCUAUCCGCGUGGCCGAGAACAGAGCACUUGUUUUGAGGAACGGUGACUGAAUUACCGCUGAAGCGUAUUUAAUGUAAACCAUGCUCGCCCCCUGCUGGAAGACAAGGAGAACUACAAUGACCGGGGCUCGCAUACAGGCUUGAGCCAAGAAAUCACGCAUCACUCACAUGGCUUAAGAGCCCAAAGGAAGAAUUGUAUUCGUUACGGUACAAAUCGACUGUGUAUCCUACGUUAUAUCCAAAGGAUACAAAGCAUUUAAUUGAAUAAAAUAUCUUCAUAUCCCACUUUUAACAUUACAAUAUUGAAAUGUUACUCAUGUUUCUUUGGGGUUAUUUUUUAACCAGUUUUUGACCACUUGACUGUAGCUGCUGGAGAAUUGUGAUCAACUGGACAACUGGAAUGUAUCAUUAAAUAAUGUUGUUUGAAAGGGUUGUUGUUUCCUUAUUUUUGUUGAUGACCGCUGGAAUCUGUCGACUCGUAUCCUGAUCCUCAGGUCAGCUGACAGAAAGCAGGUGUGCGAGUCCUGCAGGUGUUAAUCAGGUUCAUAAGCCCCAAGGCUCAUAUCGGUGUCUCUGAGGUGAGUACAGGGGGGUCACCGUCCAACACGCCAGCUCUCAAACAGGUUGGUGCUUUCAUACUAGGGUUCUCUCUCUCUCUCUCUCUCUCUCUCUCUCUCUCUCUCUCUCUCUCUCUCUCUCUCUCUCUCUCUCUCUCGCCUGUUCCUUUGAAAUUGGGGGUACUUUGUUCAGUAAAAUGUAGAUGUUAAGUCUAUGUUUUCUUUAGACCUAUAAACACCCAUCCCACAAGAACAGCAAUCUUUACUUACAUCCUAGUAAUUGAAAAACAACCUACUCAUUCACUCAAAACAAAUAUAAAUGACAAUGAAGGAAAGUCUAAUGCAAAAUGUUUGCUUUA